AGUAUACUCCCUCCAUCCGGAAAUACUUGUCAUCAAAAUGAAUAAAAAAGGAUAUAUGUAGAAUUAAAAUACGUCUAGAUACAUCUUCUUUUAUGCAUUUUGAUGACAAGUAUUUUCGAACGGAGGGAGUAUAUU
Triticum aestivum (bread wheat) is the source of this 135-nucleotide non-coding RNA. Lineage: Eukaryota; Viridiplantae; Streptophyta; Magnoliopsida; Poales; Poaceae. The record is from Rfam.